AUGGCGACUGCCGGCGAGUUAGAUCGGUUCGAGGAUCCGGCUGUGUCGGUGCGUCCUUGUUCUGGUCGGAAGAACAAGAAGGGGUCUUCUUCCAAGGCCCGUAAGGUGGUGAUGGUGGAGGCUUCCGUUACCUCCAAUCGUCUUCCAGAGAAGCGGUGUUCCAAGAAGGGGUCCUCCAUGCACAAGGAGGUGGCGCGUCUUGAUGGAAAAGAGGCCACUUGUGGUGAUCCCAGGUGCAAGGUGGGUGUUCAUCCUCCGGUGAACAACAUGAUGUUUCUAGAGAGGAUCGAAAGCAUCCUGUCCUCGGAUAAGCCCGCCCCCUCGACCCGGAGGAGGACGACGACGCUGACUUCUUCAACGAGAUGGACGACAGCAUGGCCGCCUUCCAGCAGGAUAUCUGGAAGGAGGUGA
RNAcentral lists this ribosomal RNA (411 nucleotides) under Triticum aestivum (bread wheat). RNAcentral's name for it is "partial small subunit ribosomal RNA". Lineage: Eukaryota; Viridiplantae; Streptophyta; Magnoliopsida; Poales; Poaceae. The record is from RNAcentral.